GACAGAGGGUGCAAACGUUGUUCGGAUUUACUGGGCGUAAAGCGCGUGUAGGCGGCGAGAUAAGUCGGACGUGAAAGCCCUCGGCUCAACCGGGGAAGUGCAUUCGAAACUGUCUAGCUAGAGUCUCGGAGAGGAAGGUGGAAUGCUUGGUGUAGAGGUGAAAUUCGUAGAUAUCAAGCGGAACACCGGUGGCGAAGGCGACCUUCUGGACGAUGACUGACGCUGAGACGCGAAAGCGUGGGGAGCAAACAGG
RNAcentral lists this ribosomal RNA (253 nucleotides) under uncultured bacterium. Its description in RNAcentral is "partial 16S ribosomal RNA". It matches the Rfam family "Bacterial small subunit ribosomal RNA", at positions 524 to 776 of the family's 1533-position model. The record is from RNAcentral.